CAAUAGUGACUAUGUCUAAAACAGGUAAACUUAUAGUCCCUGUAUCGUAUGAGUGAGUGACACACACAUGCGACACAGGUGUAGCGAGGUCACUGGUGUGUAGCAUUUCGACAAAGAUGGCGGUAAACAGGAAAUACAUAUACAAGUGAUAAAGAGAAAGUAGCACGUGUGUUGUGUACAAUGUGUGUUGACAAUGGCGCCGGGUACCGACUAGUUCUACAACAAGGCAACAUGGAGUGAUACUGACAAUAAUGGCUGAACGCCUGAGUACAACACUGACAAGCACUGUACGUAGAAGAAAGUGUUUUCUCUUGGUUGUGUCUGCGGUCUACAUUUCAACAGCAGUUUUAGUCUAUCACAUCAUCACUGACAACAGUUAUGACGUCACUCCAAAGGAUGUUCGACGUUUGGGCAUUCUUCUGAAAUCGGCUAUGCAUACAGAUUUGAAUAAUCUACGCUCUGAUUCUGAUAAUACGUCCCUCUCGGAGACAUCUGUUGGCCUAGCUGAAACUGUUAUGGACCAAGGCGAGUUCCCAUGUGACGUCAUAACGGAUUACGAGGAUCUGCUGUGUAAUGUAACGACACCAAACUUCCUGUCGGAGUAUAAAAACCCGUGUUGGAGGGAAGUCUGGCCAACCACUUCAAUGUCUCCCGUACUUCCAGCUAAUCGGGGUCGACAAAUCCGGUACCACGGAUCUGUUUUAUCGACUUGUACGUCAUCCUCACGUGGUCGGUAACCAAGGUUACAUUGAGAAGGAAACUUUCUGGUGGGGAUGGAGACGUUACGGUUUGGACCUCCGUAAAACAGCACCACGCAGAGAUUUCCGCUAUUAUGUCAACUUUUUUAGAGACGCGGCUACCAAGAUAGAGGAGACAACAGACGCAUCAGGCUAUCAUGACGUCAU
Pecten maximus is the source of this 905-nucleotide long non-coding RNA. RefSeq lists it as uncharacterized. NCBI's taxonomy places the organism in Eukaryota, Metazoa, Mollusca, Bivalvia, Pectinida, Pectinidae. The transcript is spliced from 4 exons. The record is from RefSeq and is a predicted model, not a curated record.